ACGGGUGAGUAAUAUAUCGGAACGUGCCCAGUAGUGGGGGAUAGCCCGGCGAAAGCCGGAUUAAUACCGCAUACGACCUACGGGUGAAAGCGGGGGAUCGCAAGACCUCGCGCUAUUGGAGCGGCCGAUAUCAGAUUAGGUAGUUGGUGGGGUAAAAGCCUACCAAGCCGACGAUCUGUAGCUGGUCUGAGAGGACGACCAGCCACACUGGGACUGAGACACGGCCCAGACUCCUACGGGAGGCAGCAGUGGGGAAUUUUGGACAAUGGGCGCAAGCCUGAUCCAGCCAUGCCGCGUGCGGGAAGAAGGCCUUCGGGUUGUAAACCGCUUUUGUCAGGGAAGAAACGGUCUGAUCUAAUACAUCGGACUAAUGACGGUACCUGAAGAAUAAGCACCGGCUAACUACGUGCCAGCAGCCGCGGUAAUACGUAGGGUGCAAGCGUUAAUCGGAAUUACUGGGCGUAAAGCGUGCGCAGGCGGCUUUGCAAGACAGAUGUGAAAUCCCCGGGCUCAACCUGGGAACUGCAUUUGUGACUGCAAGGCUAGAGUACGGUAGAGGGGGAUGGAAUUCCGCGUGUAGCAGUGA
RNAcentral lists this ribosomal RNA (586 nucleotides) under proteobacterium StTD342. Its description in RNAcentral is "bacterial SSU rRNA". It matches the Rfam family "Bacterial small subunit ribosomal RNA", at positions 102 to 684 of the family's 1533-position model. Lineage: Bacteria; Pseudomonadati; Pseudomonadota. The record is from RNAcentral.